Non-coding RNA from Saimiri boliviensis boliviensis (Bolivian squirrel monkey), 556 nucleotides. Lineage: Eukaryota; Metazoa; Chordata; Mammalia; Primates; Cebidae. The record is from RefSeq and is a predicted model, not a curated record.
GGGAGCAACUUCCUGUCCACGGGCUGAGAGAAGGGUGAUCCCGGCCCAGGCCGGAGAACAAUGGCUCGGAGGGCGCAGGCUGCCGGGCCUCCGCCCCCUGCGUGCUGAGGGCUGUCUGCGCUUUCUGGCGGCCCCACCCCCGGCUUUCUGAGCUCUGCGAGGUUGCUGAAAAAGAUGAGACUGGAGAAGACAACAGGAGCCAAAUCAUGGGUCAUCUAUGCCCUGGUGAGGUACUGACCUAAGGGCCAAGAUACAAAGUCAAGUGAGAGACAGAGUAUAUCUUAAAGGAGCAGAUUAUCUAAUAGGGAAGAGAGAUUAUGACACUGGAUGUGAACUCAAAUCCCCUUAACUCAGAAAGUUACUGUUCAAACCUCCAGAAAAACGCUGGACAAAAUCCUCAUCAAUAAAGAGAGGCAGAAACCAUUUACUUCACAAUUUUGCCAAGGCGGAGGACAGCAGCGAGCACAGGCACGGGCGAUGGUGGUGGCAGCGGCAUGGAGCUCUGAGGUUCUUCCUAGUUCUCUAGAGAAGUGUCCGUCUUUGAUGUGGCAGCGGC